This 479-nucleotide ribosomal RNA is filed under the name Stenotrophomonas maltophilia. Its description in RNAcentral is "bacterial SSU rRNA". It matches the Rfam family "Bacterial small subunit ribosomal RNA", at positions 998 to 1477 of the family's 1533-position model. The record is from RNAcentral. Lineage: Bacteria; Pseudomonadati; Pseudomonadota; Gammaproteobacteria; Lysobacterales; Lysobacteraceae.
CACGUGAGAUGGAUUGGUACCUUCGGGAACUUGAACACAGGUGCUGCAUGGGUGUCGUCAGUUCGUAUCGUGAGAUGUUGGGUUAAGUCCAACAACGAGCGCAAACCUUGUCCAUAGUUGACAGCACGUAAUGGUGGGAACUUUAAGGAGACCGCCGGUGACAAACCGGAGGAAGGUGGGGAUGACGUCAAGUCAUCAAGGCCCUUACGGCCAGGGCUACACACGUACUACAAUGGUAGGGACAGAGGGCUGCAAGCCGGCGACGGUAAGCCAAUCCCAGAAACCCUAUCUCAGUCCGGAUUGGAGUCUGCAACUCGACUCCAUGAAGUCGGAAUCGCUAGUAAUCGCAGAUCAGCAUUGCUGCGGUGAAUACGUUCCCGGGCCUUGUACACACCGCCCGUCACACCAUGGGAGUUUGUUGCACCAGAAGCAGGUAGCUUAACCUUCGGGAGGGCGCUGCCAACAGUGACUAAUUGCCA